UACGUAGGGACCGAGCGUUGUCCGGAAUCAUUGGGCGUAAAGAGCGUGUAGGCGGCCACUUAAGUCCUGCGUGAAAUCUUGCGGCUCAACCGCAAGCGGUCGUGGGAAACUGGGUGGCUAGAGUGCGGGAGAGGAGAGUGGAAUUCCUGGUGUAGCGGUGGAAAUGCGCAGAUAUCAGGAAGAACACCCGUGGCGAAGGCGGCUCUCUGGAACGCAACUGACGCUGAGACGCGAAAGCGUGGGGAGCAAACAGG
This 254-nucleotide ribosomal RNA is filed under the name uncultured bacterium. RNAcentral's name for it is "partial 16S ribosomal RNA". It matches the Rfam family "Bacterial small subunit ribosomal RNA", at positions 524 to 776 of the family's 1533-position model. The record is from RNAcentral.